RNAcentral lists this ribosomal RNA (505 nucleotides) under Fusarium oxysporum. RNAcentral describes it as "eukaryotic LSU rRNA". The stretch from base 157 to 310 matches the Rfam family "5.8S ribosomal RNA". The record is from RNAcentral. Lineage: Eukaryota; Fungi; Ascomycota; Sordariomycetes; Hypocreales; Nectriaceae.
GAUCAUUACCGAGUUUACAACUCCCAAACCCCUGUGAACAUACCACUUGUUGCCUCGGCGGAUCAGCCCGCUCCCGGUAAAACGGGACGGCCCGCCAGAGGACCCCUAAACUCUGUUUCUAUAUGUAACUUCUGAGUAAAACCAUAAAUAAAUCAAAACUUUCAACAACGGAUCUCUUGGUUCUGGCAUCGAUGAAGAACGCAGCAAAAUGCGAUAAGUAAUGUGAAUUGCAGAAUUCAGUGAAUCAUCGAAUCUUUGAACGCACAUUGCGCCCGCCAGUAUUCUGGCGGGCAUGCCUGUUCGAGCGUCAUUUCAACCCUCAAGCACAGCUUGGUGUUGGGACUCGCGUUAAUUCGCGUUCCUCAAAUUGAUUGGCGGUCACGUCGAGCUUCCAUAGCGUAGUAGUAAAACCCUCGUUACUGGUAAUCGUCGCGGCCACGCCGUUAAACCCCAACUUCUGAAUGUUGACCUCGGAUCAGGUAGGAAUACCCGCUGAACUUAAGCA